Long non-coding RNA from Nerophis lumbriciformis (worm pipefish), 1027 nucleotides. RefSeq lists it as uncharacterized. Lineage: Eukaryota; Metazoa; Chordata; Actinopteri; Syngnathiformes; Syngnathidae. The record is from RefSeq and is a predicted model, not a curated record.
GGACUUAAUAGUGUAGCUACUGCGCAUGCGCCAAAUCACCGGAAACAGGAAGCUCGAAGGCUGGAUAAAAGAUUGACGUCACAGACCCGUCUACCUGUUGUACCUACCUGUCUUAUCGCGUGGGUGGCAUACACACUACAAGGACAAAGUACUUGUUGAAUUCCAGCGCUUCAUUCAGUCCCAUUGCUGACAACUUGAAAAAAAUGGAUGAAUCUAAGGAGCUCUCUGAAUUUCAGCAUGGCACCGUAAUUGGAUGCCACCUUUGCAACAAGUCAGUCAGUGAAAUUUCUUCCCAGCUGAAAGUUCCAGAAUCAGCUGUAAAAGAGGUUAUUGCAAAGUGGAAGCUAUCUGGAUCCUUAACAGUACAGCCAAGAAACCAGGGAGCACGGAAAGCUGCAGGUGCUGAGGACGAAUAAUAGUCCGCUGACUCAGUUCUGAACUUCCUCUGGCUUUAACAUCAGCACCGACACCGCUUGGUUUCCAGGAACGAGCAGCAUGCAUGCAAGAGGACGAGCCGGCAUACAGCCGUUGCACACUUGUGCUAUGUAAGCUUUUUGUAACAAAAUGUUUGAUAUGAUUUAGGAAUUAAACCUAACACUUUACAUGUAAAGGUUGUAUUCAACUAAUGUCACGUCCGGCUCAUUAACUAUGCGAGACUGGAAGUGGUGGUCAAGCGAGCGUCUGUUGUUAAAGAAUUCUGGGCGGCAUUUUGCCUUUCUCCAAAAAAAAAAAUGGCCCAUGCUUGCGUUGUUUUAGGCUGUUGAAACCGUUCAAAUUGCGGAAAAAAUCAAAGUUUGUUUAGAGUUAAAACUUGAGAGGUGAGAAGGACGAAAGAGUGCAAGAUUUCAGUCCAAGGGAGCAGAGUGGGAGAACUUUCACGUUUGCAGUGAUCACUUUGUUUGAUGUACUUUAAACCUGCAGUAUUUCCCAUUGAAAUAUCAUCUUGAUAUUUUUUGUAAACGCCACAAGUGUUUCGUAACGCACCAACUCUGCAAGUCUGAAUAAAAGAAAGCAAACGUGAGCAAAA